AUGGGGAAGGCCUACCACAAGAAGCUGGGCGUGAACAAGGCGGCCACCGCCGGCGGGAAGGGCCAGGCCACACGUGGCGGGAGCGGUAAGCGCUCGGGAGGAGGCAUAGCCGGAGUUGGCGUGGGCGGUGCCGGCCCGACAGAAGGCGCGAAGCGAGCAGGUGGUGCUGGCGGUGGGGGUUGGGGAGGCGCGUCGGCAUUCUUUUCCACCGGCCAUAGCACCUUCCAGACGGCAGUGGCUGCCACCAAUGAGUACUACGACCAGGAGGAGAACGACUGUUCGUCCGAGGAAGACUGCCCAACAUUCACUCCCGCCAGCCAUAGCACAUUCCAGACGGCUGUUCAUUCCACGAAUGAGUACUAUGAUGAUGAGGAGAACGACUGUUCGUCCCCAUUCGCUCCAGCAGACCAUAGCACCUUUGAAACGGCCGUGGAGACCAUGAAUGAGCACUACGAUGACGAGGAGAACGAGGAAGAGGGCGUGCAGGAUGCUGAGCUUGUGUCUGAUGCAAACGGCGAUCGAGGGUGA
This 528-nucleotide ribosomal RNA is filed under the name Triticum aestivum (bread wheat). RNAcentral describes it as "partial small subunit ribosomal RNA". The record is from RNAcentral. Lineage: Eukaryota; Viridiplantae; Streptophyta; Magnoliopsida; Poales; Poaceae.